CCUACGGGUUGCUGCAGUGAGGAAUAUUGGUCAAUGGGCGCGAGCCUGAACCAGCCAAGUAGCGUGAAGGAUGACUGCCCUACGGGUUGUAAACUUCUUUUAUAAAGGAAUAAAGUGAGGCACGUGUGCCUUUUUGUAUGUACUUUAGGAAUAAGGAUCGGCUCACUCCGUGCCAGCAGGCGCGGUAAUACGGAGGAUCCGAGCGUUCUCCGGAUUUAUUGGGUUUAAAGGGAGCGUAGAUGGGUUGUUAAGUCAGUUGUGAAAGGUUGCGGCUCAACCGUAAAAUUGCAAUUGAUACUGGCAGCCUUGAGUACAGUUGAGGUAGGCGGAAUGCGUGGUGUAGCGGUGAAAUGCUUAGAUAUCACGAAGAACUCCGAUUGCGAAGGCAGCCUACUAAACUGCCACUGACAUUGCUUCUCGAAAGUGUGGGUAUCAAACAGGAUUAGAUAACCCUGUAGUC
RNAcentral lists this ribosomal RNA (460 nucleotides) under uncultured bacterium. RNAcentral describes it as "partial 16S ribosomal RNA". It matches the Rfam family "Bacterial small subunit ribosomal RNA", at positions 338 to 795 of the family's 1533-position model. The record is from RNAcentral.